RNAcentral lists this transfer RNA (90 nucleotides) under Nitrospiraceae bacterium. RNAcentral's name for it is "tRNA-Ser". It matches the Rfam family "tRNA". Rfam says of the family: Transfer RNA (tRNA) molecules are approximately 80 nucleotides in length. Their secondary structure includes four short double-helical elements and three loops (D, anti-codon, and T loops). Further hydrogen bonds mediate the characteristic L-shaped molecular structure. tRNAs have two regions of fundamental functional importance: the anti-codon, which is responsible for specific mRNA codon recognition, and the 3' end, to which the tRNAs corresponding amino acid is attached (by aminoacyl-tRNA synthetases). tRNAs cope with the degeneracy of the genetic code in two manners: having more than one tRNA (with a specific anti-codon) for a particular amino acid; and 'wobble' base-pairing, i.e. permitting non-standard base-pairing at the 3rd anti-codon position. The record is from RNAcentral. Lineage: Bacteria; Pseudomonadati; Nitrospirota; Nitrospiria; Nitrospirales; Nitrospiraceae.
GGAGAGAUGUCCGAGUGGCUUAAGGAGCACGCCUGGAAAGCGUGUGUGGGAUAAAACUCACCGAGAGUUCAAAUCUCUCUCUCUCCGCCA